CUGACUCAUCACACUGCCCAUUUCAGAAAAGUGACAGCAUGUAAAUCAUUUCACUACCACCAUACAGCUGAUAGCCAGGAGAACAUCAUGAUGGAUCUGUUGCUUCAGAAAGAGGAAGAGGGGUGUAAGCAGCAGCACACCGAGGUGGAAAGCAGCAUGAGCAGAAGGGCCUCUGAGCGAGGGUAUGUCCUGCCCGGGACCAGGCGUGCAGGAGGGCAAUCAAACCACAGAAGGAGAGAGAGAGAGGGCUAUGCAUCAAAUGGAGAAAGCAGCUUGGAAAGGAAAAGAAGAGUUCCAUCCUCCAGUCUCCUGUAUCAGAAGCCCCCAGGAAGCAGAUUCAAGAUUUUAAGAGCUGAGGAAGGAGAGUGUGACGGACUCAGAGUUAUUUAAUACCCUGCUGCUGCUGCUGCUGCUAAGUCACUUCAGUCGUGUCCGACUCUAUGCGACCCCAUAGACGGUAGCCCACCAGGCUCCCCCAUCCCUGGGAUUCUCCAGGCAAGAACACUGGAGUGGGUUGCCAUUUCCUUCUCCAAUGGAUGAAAGUGAAAAGUGAAAGUGAAAAUGCUCAGUCGUGUCCGACUCAUAGCGACCCUAUGGACUGCAGCCUACCAGGCUCCUCUGUCCAUGGGAUUUGCCAGGCAAGAGUACUGGAGUGGGUUGCCAUUGCCUUCUCUGUUUAAUAGCCUGAGGAAAGGUUUUUAAGAGUUGCCAUUUCACAUGUUGUGCAAGAGUAUUAUUGAGUCCUUACAUUUCUCUCUUUCUUAUUUCAAGAGAGAAUGUUGAGGCUUAUUCCGGAGCUGGAAACUCUGUGAGCCUGAGAUGAAAAUACAGCCAUGAAUUAAAGCAGCCUGAGUCAGUGGUCACUGACCAAGUAUAUGAAUAUUUGACUCUCUCUCUCUGCUGUUAAUGGCAGAUGGAAAGACAAUGCAUGGAAAUGGUUUAAUUUUACUUUACCAGGCUACACUAAUGUAGGUAAUUAAGAUUCACUGCCUUAUUAACUUC
RNAcentral lists this long non-coding RNA (1002 nucleotides) under Capra hircus (goat). Its description in RNAcentral is "lncRNA (ENSCHIG00000004860.1)". The record is from RNAcentral. Lineage: Eukaryota; Metazoa; Chordata; Mammalia; Artiodactyla; Bovidae.